RNAcentral lists this long non-coding RNA (2617 nucleotides) under Mus musculus (house mouse). RNAcentral describes it as "RIKEN cDNA D030068K23 gene". The record is from RNAcentral. Lineage: Eukaryota; Metazoa; Chordata; Mammalia; Rodentia; Muridae.
GAGCGUCCGGGACAAGCGCUCUGUUUUGAAUCUUUGGCAUCUUCAGGGAUGGAUGGAAUCCUACAACUGAGGGAGACUGCGGUCUUGGGCGUGAGCAAGUGAGGAAAAGCGUGCUGGAGCGACCAGCAGCAAACCUCCUCAGAGAGGUGACGCCAGCUUCUUGGUUUUCACCUUAGGUCUGUUCCUCCAAGCCGGGGUGCCUUUCCCUCAUUUACGCUCCUGAGGGAUGCUCUGCUUGUAACCUUCCGCAGGGUUCCCGCGCGCGCUCCACACCUUUCCCAGUUGUGGUUUACACCCCACUGACUUCUCUCAUCACAUCCGUGUCUCCAUCACCAUCAGAUACUUUUCUCAGUGCGUCUGAAAAUGAUGGGAAAGGCUCUCAAGCAGCCUAACGAGCACACUACCACCAGCACCCUUCACAAACUGAGCCCAGAACUUUCUUGAAGAAAGGAUGCUGCUGGUCUCCCAGACCUUCCUGCUCAAAACCAUAAGUUGGAAACACUCUGCAACGUGCUGCAAAAUUAAUCUACCUACGGCUCUGCUGGCACACCCAGAUGUCCUGAAACUUUCCCGAGUGUGUUCGGAGCAGCCACUUGGAAUCAUCCAGAGUCUGCCUUCUACAUGAGACCUGUCUGUCUCACCUGUACUUGGGAUGAAGUCUCCAUAUGCCAGAUAUAGGACUCCCUGAACCAUGUCCUGCGAGGCCAGUCUAGUAGAGUUGGUCAUAAAGAAUGGCUGUGACCAAGCCUUGUAUGGUCACUGUCCUCAUUCCAAAGAUGCAUGCCCAGUGGAAGGAAUGGGGCACAGCAGGGCCCACCCAGUCUGCUCAGUGACAUCUCCAUAUGAAACCUCAAGGUACUGGAUUGGGGAAGCUUCCAGACAGCUGACCUCAGGAAGGUUCCUGGAGGGUGGAGGGGCACCUGAAGAGCCCAUGCAAGCUCUGUACCUAAGCCCCAUGAGGAAGUGCUUCCAUGAAUUCUCGGAGUCCCUCAAGCAAAUGAAUCAAAGCCAAAGGGCUUAUGGGUACCACGAUUCAUUGCCAGUCAGAAACAGAAAUGCAACAGCCAGGGGCUUGUGAUUGGCAUCUGCUAUGGGAGGAGCUGAGCCUUCCAUCUAUAGCGUGGCCUCUUCCUUCAAGGCAGAGAGUGUCAGAUCUGAACUGGGUCAGAGGACACUUCGCCAGUCUGUCGUUUGCUACCACUGGUGCUUUCUGAAAGGGAGAAGUACUCACACCUUCUGAGCUUGCAGGACUCUUCUGUGUGGUUGUGGUGUGGAAGCGGAGGAGGCAGGCGGGAAGCAGGGGAAGGCAGAAUGGUUUUGUUUAUAUGACAGGUAGGUAGACGAUGUGAGCACUGUGUGUUUAUAUGGCAUGUAUGUGUACACCGUGAAUUAUAAAAACACUGAUGAAGGCCAUUAAACUAGACUAAAAAGAAUGGACCAUGGUCAUAGUUGGGGAAAAUGAAAACUAUUAAAAUACCUAUACUACGGGCUAGAGAGAUGGCUCAGCAGUUAAGAGCACUGACUGCUCUUCCAGAGGUCCUGAGUUCAAAUUCUCAACAACUACAUGGUAGCUCACAACCAUCUGUAAUGGGAUCCCAUGCCCUCUUCUAGUGUCUGAAGACAGCGAGAGUGUACUCAUACAUAAGAUAAAUAAAUCAUUUUUUAAAAAAAACUACAGUACUCAUUACAGUUUGAACCUUGAAUUUCCCCAAAGGCCUGUGUGUUGAAGGCUUGGAUUUCAGGGUAUCACUGGGAGGUGGCUGAACCUCUGUGAAGUGAGGCCUUAUGGGUGGAAGACCCUUGAAGGGGAUUCUGUGGACACUGGUUCCUUUUCGGUUCUUUUGCUCUUGGGCUCUUGGCAUGAGCAGUUUCAUUCCACCAUAUACUCCUGCCACAACGUACUGCUUGGUAUAGGCCCAGAGCAGUGGAGCCAAUUGAUAUUAGAUUAAUAUCUUAAAAAUAAGGACCCCCGAAUACACUUCUCCAUAACUCCGUCAUCUUGGAGGUUUCAUUAUUGCAGGAAAAAAAUGUUCACAUUACUCAAAGACAGUCUAAAAGUUGAAUGCAACCCCUAUAAAAAUUGAAUGGCCUUUUCUCACAUCACUAGAAGGUCAAUCCUCAGAUUCAUAUGGAAGGCCUGUGUAGUGACAUCAACCUUGGACAAAAAGAAUAGAACUAAAUUUAAGUUUUAUACUCACUGAUUCCAAAUUAUAUUACAAGACAUAUGUAAGUGGAAUAGAAUGGAGAGCCCAGAAAUAAACCUGUAACUUACUAAACAACUCACUUUCAGCAGGCGUACCAGGAAUGCCCGGGGGCUUGGGGGGGGGGGGGAGGAUGGUACUUUAGUUCAUAGCAGAGCAACACAGAGUAUACACAUGCAAACGAAUAAAAACAAGUGUUCCUACCACACACAAAACUUAGCAUGGAUUAAAAACUUAAACAUAAGACCUGAAGCCACAAAAGUCCAAGAAAAUUUACGAUAAAAUUUCUCUGUCUUUGGUUAGCUGCAACUUAAGGAACUUAUAUUACUUAAAAGGGAGAGAGGGAGAAAAGGAGAGAAAGAGACAGAGACACCUGUCUUGGAAAAUCAAGAAAGUAACUAAAUAGACAUUUCAUC